UUAUUUGCAUAAACUUUCGUAUAAUCUGAAAGAUAUGGUUUCGGAGUCUCUACCUUGUCGCCGUAAAUGACAAGACUAUGUAUAGGAU
RNAcentral lists this non-coding RNA (88 nucleotides) under pig gut metagenome. RNAcentral's name for it is "Purine riboswitch". The stretch from base 16 to 82 matches the Rfam family "Purine riboswitch aptamer", at positions 20 to 86 of the family's 102-position model. From Rfam's summary of the family: Riboswitches are metabolite binding domains within certain messenger RNAs that serve as precision sensors for their corresponding targets. Allosteric rearrangement of mRNA structure is mediated by ligand binding, and this results in modulation of gene expression. A class of riboswitches that selectively recognises guanine and becomes saturated at concentrations as low as 5 nM. The record is from RNAcentral.